Molecule: ribosomal RNA, 356 nt
Filed under: proteobacterium or18
Lineage: Bacteria; Pseudomonadati; Pseudomonadota
Description: bacterial SSU rRNA
Rfam family: Bacterial small subunit ribosomal RNA
Source: RNAcentral
ACGCCCCGCAAGGGGAGUGGCAGACGGGUGAGUAACGCGUGGGAAUCUACCCAAUUCUUCGGAACAACUGAGGGAAACUUCAGCUAAUACCGAAUGUGCCCUUCGGGGGAAAGAUUUAUCGGAAUUGGAUGAGCCCGCGUUGGAUUAGCUAGUUGGUGGGGUAAAGGCCUACCAAGGCGACGAUCCAUAGCUGGUCUGAGAGGAUGAUCAGCCACACUGGGACUGAGACACGGCCCAGACUCCUACGGGAGGCAGCAGUGGGGAAUAUUGGACAAUGGGCGCAAGCCUGAUCCAGCCAUGCCGCGUGAGUGAUGAAGGUCUUAGGAUUGUAAAGCUCUUUCACCGGUGAAGAUAAU